UCGAUUCCGGAUGUGCUGGCAUUAAAAAAUGCAUUGUGCACUCUGAUAAUACCUUCUACCCUUGUGCACUAUUUUGUAGGCCUAAUGAAAGAGAAGUCUUGUAGCAAUACAAUUCAUCUCAAGUAAUUGUGUCUAUGAUUUUUAUUACACUCUUUUAACUUGUAAAGAAUGUUCAAGUAGACUUCUUAAAGUCGAAAUUAUAAAA
RNAcentral lists this unclassified non-coding RNA (205 nucleotides) under uncultured fungus. Its description in RNAcentral is "sequence contains ITS1, 5.8S rRNA gene". Lineage: Eukaryota; Fungi. The record is from RNAcentral.